GAGAGUAUAGUUCAGUGGUAGAGUGCAUGCAUAGAAUGCAUGAGGUCCUGGGUUCGAUCCCCAGUCCAUUAA
RNAcentral lists this transfer RNA (72 nucleotides) under Camelus bactrianus (Bactrian camel). It matches the Rfam family "tRNA". From Rfam's summary of the family: Transfer RNA (tRNA) molecules are approximately 80 nucleotides in length. Their secondary structure includes four short double-helical elements and three loops (D, anti-codon, and T loops). Further hydrogen bonds mediate the characteristic L-shaped molecular structure. tRNAs have two regions of fundamental functional importance: the anti-codon, which is responsible for specific mRNA codon recognition, and the 3' end, to which the tRNAs corresponding amino acid is attached (by aminoacyl-tRNA synthetases). tRNAs cope with the degeneracy of the genetic code in two manners: having more than one tRNA (with a specific anti-codon) for a particular amino acid; and 'wobble' base-pairing, i.e. permitting non-standard base-pairing at the 3rd anti-codon position. Lineage: Eukaryota; Metazoa; Chordata; Mammalia; Artiodactyla; Camelidae. RNAcentral also lists the same sequence under 2 other names. The record is from Rfam by way of RNAcentral.